GCUGAUAGUCCUACAUCUUGACUCUCAGCCAACAGGAAAUGAUCUGUCUCACUAGACAUGGCUUGAGCGUAUAGGAGACCUCAAAGCCCACCUCUACAGUGACACACUUCCUCCAACAAGGCCAC
Peromyscus maniculatus bairdii (prairie deer mouse) is the source of this 125-nucleotide non-coding RNA. NCBI's taxonomy places the organism in Eukaryota, Metazoa, Chordata, Mammalia, Rodentia, Cricetidae. The record is from RefSeq and is a predicted model, not a curated record.